UUUAAAAAAGAUCCUUGUGGGAACCGGGGCGGUUUUUGGGUGACUGCGAAGGGGAGACCGCCUGGGAAUACCAGGUGCUGUAAGCUUUUUC
This 91-nucleotide ribosomal RNA is filed under the name Hime japonica. Lineage: Eukaryota; Metazoa; Chordata; Actinopteri; Aulopiformes; Aulopidae. The record is from RNAcentral.